UAAAGAAAAGAGGUUUCAUUGGCUCUUGAUUCUGCAGGUUGUACAGGAAGCAUGGUGCUGGCAUCUGCUUCCGAUGAGGGCCUCAGGGAGCUUACAAUCAUGGUGGAAGACGAAGGGGAGCCAAUGUUUCACAUGUUGAGAGUGAGAGCAAGAGAGAGGGAGGGGAGGCAGCCACACACUUUUAAACAACCAGAUUUUUUUUUUUUUUUAGAUGGAGUCCUGCUCUGUUGCCCAGGCUGGAGUGCAGCAGCGUGAUCUCGGCUCACUGCAACCUCCACCUCCCAGGUUCAAGCGAUUCUCCUGCCUCAGGCUCCUGAGUAGCUGCGAUUACAGGCGCGUGCCACCAUGCCCGGCUAAUUUUUGUAUUUUUAGUAGAGGCAGGGUUUCACCAUGUUGGUCAGGCUAGUCUCGAACUCCUGACAUCGUGAUCCACCCGCCUCGGCCUCCUAAAGUGCUGGGAUUACAGGCGUGAGCCACCCUGCCUGGCCUAAGCAACCACAUCUUGCAUGAACUAACUGAGCGAGAACUCACUUAUCACUGAAGGGAUGGCGCUACACCAUUCACGAGGGGCUAUUCCCAUGAUCCAAUCACCUCCCACCAGGCCCCACCUCCAACAGUGGGGAUCACAUUUCAACAUGAGAUUUGGAGAGGACAAACAUCCAAACGAUAUCAGGCUGAAAACACGGCUGGCACUUGAAACUUUAGAGAAGUCACCUUUUCCCUGGGCUCCUCGCUCUGGUCUCCCUGAGACUGUCACAGCGGCUUCAUAGGUGCUUCGAGUUUCUUUGCCACCCCCUGAUCAGGCCUUCUGUGUUUUGUAGUAGUCGCCUUCCCAGAUUUAUUGAGUAGCUCAGCUGAACCAAGGUCUGAGCAUUCAAUUAGGUCUUGUUAUUCAUCCGUUCACCAAAUAUUUAGUGAGCCAUGUGCCAGGCACAUUUCUAGCUGCUGAUACAGCUGUGAACAAGACAGAUGAAGCCCUUGCCCUUCGUGGAGCUCACAUUUUAAUAAAUAGUUUGGAGGCGGACAAAGAGAAAAUAAACAGAGAAACACGAACCUGGAGCAUUUGGCUCACAACUUAGAGUUGACUCAUCUUCAGUUUGACGUCCCUCCUGCUACGAGUUCCUGGCUAACUGACAUCUCUUCUCCUCAAGCAGAUGCUAACUUUGAGCCCUACCACUGAUGGCAUUUGAGGGGGAGAGGAUAAGCCAAGGGAAGAGGAAAAUCAAAAUGCUUUCAGCAGCACGGCUUCCGCAUGCUGGAGAGGUGGUGUAUGGGGUUGCGGCUUGGCCUGUUUUCUGAAACCUGCAAGGUAGCACCCUGAAGGUAGCUUGUAACCCUCCACUCUCACACCAAGAGGAGGAGACCAAAGCCAGAGAGAGGAAGUGAGCUCUGGAAGGCCACCCAGUGAGCUCCUGCUAGAGCCAGCCCCAAAAAGCAGCCGAACUCAGCCCAGCUGCCCCGUCUCCUUCCACGACCUCUGGCUGCUUCCUGGAAGGCAGGAUUACUAAAUUGAUAGACGGCAGGAGGUCCGUGAACUUGGAUGGGAAGAAAAAUUACAUCUUCAUUUUCGCUAACCUCUCACUGAAAUCCUUUAAUAGACGUAGGAAACAAACCACAGUGAUAUUGG
Molecule: long non-coding RNA, 1627 nt
Filed under: Homo sapiens (human)
Lineage: Eukaryota; Metazoa; Chordata; Mammalia; Primates; Hominidae
Description: HSALNT0281652
Source: RNAcentral